RNAcentral lists this non-coding RNA (90 nucleotides) under pig gut metagenome. The record is from RNAcentral.
UUUCACUAGGGGCGCUUUGGCUGAGAGGAUUAUAUAUAAUCCGACCCUUGGAACCUGUGGGGGUAAUACCUGCGUAGGGAAGUGGCUUAU